GACGAACGCUGGCGGCGUGCUUAACACAUGCAAGUCGAACGGAAAGGCCCUGCUUUUGUGGGGUGCUCGAGUGGCGAACGGGUGAGUAACACGUGAGUAACCUGCCCUUGACUUUGGGAUAACUUCAGGAAACUGGGGCUAAUACCGGAUAGGAGCUCCUGCUGCAUGGUGGGGGUUGGAAAGUUUCGGCGGUUGGGGAUGGACUCGCGGCUUAUCAGCUUGUUGGUGGGGUAGUGGCUUACCAAGGCUUUGACGGGUAGCCGGCCUGAGAGGGUGACCGGCCACAUUGGGACUGAGAUACGGCCCAGACUCCUACGGGAGGCAGCAGUGGGGAAUAUUGCACAAUGGGCGGAAGCCUGAUGCAGCAACGCCGCGUGCGGGAUGACGGCCUUCGGGUUGUAAACCGCUUUCGCCUGUGACGAAGCGUGAGUGACGGUAAUGGGUAAAGAAGCACCGGCUAACUACGUGCCAGCAGCCGCGGUGAUACGUAGGGUGCGAGCGUUGUCCGGAUUUAUUGGGCGUAAAGGGCUCGUAGGUGGUUGAUCGCGUCGGAAGUGUAAUCUUGGGGCUUAACCCUGAGCGUGCUUUCGAUACGGGUUGACUUGAGGAAGGUAGGGGAGAAUGGAAUUCCUGGUGGAGCGGUGGAAUGCGCAGAUAUCAGGAGGAACACCAGUGGCGAAGGCGGUUCUCUGGGCCUUUCCUGACGCUGAGGAGCGAAAGCGUGGGGAGCGAACAGGCUUAGAUACCCUGGUAGUCCACGCUGUAAACGGUGGGUACUAGGUGUGGGGUCCAUUCCACGGGUUCCGUGCCGUAGCUAACGCUUUAAGUACCCCGCCUGGGGAGUACGGCCGCAAGGCUAAAACUCAAAGGAAUUGACGGGGCCCCGCACAAGCGGCGGAGCAUGCGGAUUAAUUCGAUGCAACGCGUAGAACCUUACCUGGGUUUGACAUGGAUCGGGAGUGCUCAGAGAUGGGUGUGCCUCCUUUGGGGUCGGUUCACAGGUGGUGCAUGGCUGUCGUCAGCUCGUGUCGUGAGAUGUUGGGUUAAGUCCCGCAACGAGCGCAACCCUUGUUCACUGUUGCCAGCACGUUAUGGUGGGGACUCAGUGGAGACCGCCGGGGUCAACUCGGAGGAAGGUGGGGAUGACGUCAAGUCAUCGUGCCCCUUAUGUCCAGGGCUUCACGCAUGCUACAAUGGCUGGUACAGAGAGUGGCGAGCCUGUGAGGGUGAGCGAAUCUCGGAAAGCCGGUCUCAGUUCGGAUUGGGGUCUGCAACUCGACCUCAUGAAGUCGGAGUCGCUAGUAAUCGCAGAUCAGCAACGCUGCGGUGAAUACGUUCCCGGGGCU
Molecule: ribosomal RNA, 1346 nt
Filed under: uncultured bacterium
Lineage: Bacteria
Description: partial 16S ribosomal RNA
Rfam family: Bacterial small subunit ribosomal RNA
Source: RNAcentral